GUUCCUGUAGCGCAAUGGAUAGUGCGUUGGACUUCUAAUCCAAAGGUUGUGGGUUCGAAUCCCACUUGGGAGG
RNAcentral lists this transfer RNA (73 nucleotides) under Trichonephila inaurata madagascariensis. It matches the Rfam family "tRNA". Rfam says of the family: Transfer RNA (tRNA) molecules are approximately 80 nucleotides in length. Lineage: Eukaryota; Metazoa; Arthropoda; Arachnida; Araneae; Nephilidae. The record is from Rfam by way of RNAcentral.